RNAcentral lists this ribosomal RNA (253 nucleotides) under uncultured bacterium. Its description in RNAcentral is "partial 16S ribosomal RNA". It matches the Rfam family "Bacterial small subunit ribosomal RNA", at positions 524 to 776 of the family's 1533-position model. The record is from RNAcentral.
UACGAAGGGGGCUAGCGUUGCUCGGAAUGACUGGGCGUAAAGCGCACGUAGGCGGCUUUCUAAGUCAGGGGUGAAAUCCUGGAGCUCAACUCCAGAACUGCCUUUGAUACUGAGGAUCUUGAGUUCGGGAGAGGUGAGUGGAACUGCGAGUGUAGAGGUGAAAUUCGUAGAUAUUAGGAAGAACACCAGUGGCGAAGGCGGCUCACUGGCCCGGAACUGACGCUGAGGUACGAAAGCGUGGGGAGCAAACAGG